UCGGGUGUGACUGCGUACCUUUUGUAUAAUGGGUCAGCGACUUAUAUUCUGUAGCAAGGUUAACCGUAUAGGGGAGCCGCAGGGAAACCGAGUCUUAACUGGGCGUUAAGUUGCAGGGUAUAGACCCGAAACCCGGUGAUCUAGCCAUGGGCAGGUUGAAGGUUGGGUAACACUAACUGGAGGACCGAACCGACUAAUGUUGAAAAAUUAGCGGAUGACUUGUGGCUGGGGGUGAAAGGCCAAUCAAACCGGGAGAUAGCUGGUUCUCCCCGAAAGCUAUUUAGGUAGCGCCUCGUGAAUUCAUCUUCGGGGGUAGAGCACUGUUUCGGCUAGGGGGUCAUCCCGACUUACCAACCCGAUGCAAACUACGAAUACCGAAGAAUGUUAUCACGGGAGACACACGGCGGGUGCUAACGUCCGUCGUGAAGAGGGAAACAACCCAGACCGCCAGCUAAGGUCCCAAAGUCACAGUUAAGUGGGAAACGAUGUGGGAAGGCACAGACAGCCAGGAUGUUGGCUUAGAAGCAGCCAUCAUUUAAAGAAAGCGUAAUAGCUCACUGGUCGAGUCGGCCUGCGCGGAAGAUGUAACGGGGCUAAACUGUGCACCGAAGCUGCGGCAGCGACACUAUGUGUUGUUGGGUAGGGGAGCGUUCUGUAAGCCUGCGAAGGUGGCCUGUGAGGGUUGCUGGAGGUAUCAGAAGUGCGAAUGCUGACAUAAGUAACGAUAAUGCGGGUGAAAAGCCCGCACGCCGGAAGACCAAGGGUUCCUGUCCAACGUUAAUCGGGGCAGGGUGAGUCGACCCCUAAGGCGAGGCCGAAAGGCGUAGUCGAUGGGAAACAGGUUAAUAUUCCUGUACUUGGUGUUACUGCGAAGGGGGGACGGAGAAGGCUAUGUUAGCCGGGCGACGGUUGUCCCGGUUUAAGCAUGUAGGCGGAGGUUCCAGGUAAAUCCGGUACCUUUUAACGCUGAGGUGUGAUGACGAGGCACUACGGUGCUGAAGUAACAAAUGCCCUGCUUCCAGGAAAAGCCUCUAAGCAUCAGGUAACAUUGAAUCGUACCCCAAACCGACACAGGUGGUCAGGUAGAGAAUACCAAGGCGCUUGAGAGAACUCGGGUGAAGGAACUAGGCAAAAUGGUGCCGUAACUUCGGGAGAAGGCACGCUGAUAUGUAGGUGAAGCCCCUGCGGGUGGAGCUGAAAUCAGUCGAAGAUACCAGCUGGCUGCAACUGUUUAUUAAAAACACAGCACUGUGCAAACACGAAAGUGGACGUAUACGGUGUGACGCCUGCCCGGUGCCGGAAGGUUAAUUGAUGGGGUUAUCCGUAAGGAGAAGCUC
This 1337-nucleotide ribosomal RNA is filed under the name Salmonella enterica subsp. enterica serovar Minnesota. Its description in RNAcentral is "partial 23S ribosomal RNA". It matches the Rfam family "Bacterial large subunit ribosomal RNA", at positions 587 to 1907 of the family's 2925-position model. Lineage: Bacteria; Pseudomonadati; Pseudomonadota; Gammaproteobacteria; Enterobacterales; Enterobacteriaceae. The record is from RNAcentral.